CUUUGUGACUCCUUGCUCAGUUUCCUAGACGAAUUAUGAUAGGGUUUUUGUUUCUUAUUUUGCAGUAUGUGGAAUAUCUUUUGUUUACUACUGAUAUAUUUAUAAGAUAAGUCAUUUUAAGAUGGAAUUGUGAUCAUUUGACCUAUGACACAGUCUGCCCAAGUGGUGCAAAAUUCCAUAUGCGUUUACAUCCCUGUGCUAAAGCCUGUAUUGUAAAGGAUGAUCUGGAUUUUCUGUUUCCUGUUUCUUUCGUGUGUGUGCAGUGGCACUGUGGCACAAAAUGCUCAUAAAAUACCAGCUCUUACUCUGCAGGAAUAUUUUAAUGUUUUGCAGCCAGGGAAAACAGCAUUAAUUUACUUUAGUCAGUCAAUAAAUUCCAGUGUAAAGCAUUUUCUUGAACAGCUUGAGAAGUGUGUUGAAACAUUGAAAGAAUAUGGGAUUACAGUUGCAAAGGUAAAGUG
This is a long non-coding RNA of Protopterus annectens (West African lungfish), 461 nucleotides long. RefSeq lists it as uncharacterized. The record is from RefSeq and is a predicted model, not a curated record. The transcript has 3 exons. NCBI's taxonomy places the organism in Eukaryota, Metazoa, Chordata, Ceratodontiformes, Protopteridae.